This 329-nucleotide transfer-messenger RNA is filed under the name Rhodospirillales bacterium. It matches the Rfam family "Alphaproteobacteria transfer-messenger RNA". From Rfam's summary of the family: Bacterial tmRNA, also known as 10Sa RNA or SsrA, is named for its dual tRNA and mRNA-like properties. Its role is to liberate the mRNA from a stalled ribosome. Lineage: Bacteria; Pseudomonadati; Pseudomonadota; Alphaproteobacteria; Rhodospirillales. The record is from RNAcentral.
CCCCUUUGCAAAACCCCGGUGGCGCAUUAUAUUAGUGGUGCCGGUUUACCGGCUAUGGCGAUAAACGCUAUGUGGAAUAAACGUUACGGACCCGGGGGCAGUGCCCGGCGCCUCCACCAUUUCCUUUCGCCGCAUACCGAGCCGUGCGGCAUCUCAAUGGGGGCGAAACAGGAUCGACGUGCGCAGUAAAGACAUAGUUUUCUCCCGGCAUGGUACCGCCGUUAUCGGACCAAAAUCUCAAAUGCCAACGAUAACAAGGCAUUUGCUGUAGCGGCCUAAGGUCGUUACAACGGGGUUCGGGGGGCACCUGGCAACAGAAGCCCCCCACU